Oncorhynchus mykiss (rainbow trout) is the source of this 5516-nucleotide long non-coding RNA. The record is from Ensembl. Lineage: Eukaryota; Metazoa; Chordata; Actinopteri; Salmoniformes; Salmonidae.
AUGCUGUGUCUGAAGAUUGUUAAAGUCGUGACCCAGACAGCCCUCCGCAUUCUCCUACCAGCGCUAGCUCGUAUCAUGGGGGUGAACCUGAGGAGUGGGGCAACCUCCCCAGAAUCCCAGUGCUCUCUGACAGGGUCUGAGGAUUCCUUAGGCGGUCUGGAUGAGAGAGAGAAAAGGCUGCUGAUCAGUGAGAUGAACUACUGGACUAAGGAGAGGAGGAGGAAUGGCAGUGCAGGAUGCCGCCAAAAAUCCACUCGCAGAACCUCAUCACCAUGCUGUUCGCCUAAGAGGUCCCAGACCUCAUUGCAGAGCUUGCCUGCAACUAGAGAGGCUCCCCUCAUGGAGGAGCCUCUGAAGGCUCUUUUUGGGGUAACGGAAGAGAGCCUUCUGAUAUCCCUGGUUGAGGGUCACUCCAACCCCACCUCUUCCAGCUCCUCCGAGUUGAGCUGUGCUAUCGUGGGGGAGGUGGUACACCAGCUUAACUCUGGCCUCUCAGUGGCCAUUCAGGCCAGCCCGGGGAGUUGCCCCCCUAUGGACAGUCAGGACAUAGCAGCAGGCAAGGAGGUCAUUCGGGUAGCCUCGGUUCAGAUCCUGGCCGAGCUAGAGAGCCAAACAUCUGAGCCAGAGUGGGUAGGGUUUAUCGAGCCCCUCAUAGACCCUGUGACCGAUGAUGUGCUGGAGGCCAUUGUCGGCACAAUGGACAAAAUGGCACAGGACUUCAACAUCCUAUUGGAUCUGGCCAAGAAGAUGACAAUCUUGGGGUCUAAAUUUCUGACCAAUCUUCAAUGUGACCUAGAUGUUGAGUGUCCAUCUGGGAAGGAAGGGACCACUCACUUUCUCAAAGAGACUGGAUCCUCUACCAGUGUGGUGGCCAGAAAGAUUCAGACCCUCUCUAGCCCCGACUUUCAGUCUAAAGCCCUGAAGGCGGUGAGCACCAUCCUUACAAGGAAAGUCAGCAGCUCUUCUGGCAUGGCUCCUUCCUCUAGGCCUUCUAGUGCUGCUCCUAGCCAUACUGAAGUCCCGCUGAAUACCAGCUGCACAGCCCUGACAUCUGUAACCUCCACUGCCACAGUGAUUGUUAAGGCAUUUGUGGGAGGCAUGGAGACGAUAGCAUCAUUUGAAGACACAUGUGAAGCAGUUGAUUGGCCAGUUCCUGUAAAUGACCACAAAACAGGGUCUUCACAGAAGAUAACCUUCUCUCUAGCCGGUACACUCUAUGGCCGUAUACGAGCAAAGCUGAGGGACCUUUUAACUCUAGCCGCUCGAGAAGAAGGUGUGGCAAAGGAUGCUUCUCUUCGGGAGUCUUCAGACACCCUGGAAAAGGCAACUGUUUCAACUGUUGAGGUCCAGUUACCCAGCACCGAACACAGUAGAGUUCCCAGAGAGAGCCAACCAAUACCAGCUCUCUGUCUCUCCAAUCUGGAUACCAGUACUCAAGAAGUUCUUAGCAGUGUUUUUUCCAUCUACAAGUCAGAGUUAUCAAAAGUGGAGAGUAAAUCCUUGGCCGUUGUCAGUUCAUCUGAUGAGUCCCUAGAGGCUUGUUGGUUUGUUGAUGGUGUCCUAUCAAAGCUCGAUGACUAUACUAUUUCCCAGUCACCCUCACCCAAUGAAGACUUGAGCGUGAGUACUCAAUAUUCUCAACUGAGCUCAGAAGAGAGUGUCAGAAUCACAGAGUCCUCAACUAGUCUGAUUCAGAGCAUUAAGAAGCUCUCUAGCAAUGACUUUCAGAUUCAGGCAGAAGAGGCAGUGAGUAAAGUGCUGAUGAGAUCCAGUCAUUCCUUUAUCACACAGAUCAGCCAUACUGGUCUUCAGAAAAGUCUGCAGGCUGGCUUAUCAUCUAGCUCACCAUCAGAGAUCCAUGUCCUUUCAGAAUCCAUGUCCUCCAUGUCCUCUGAGAAUACAGCCUCUAGAUUAGUGGAAACCUUUGUCAAAGGAAUGGCGACUAUUUUCCAGAAAAAUGAGUCCACUGACACUGUGCUACUGGAAAGAAGUGGGAGAGUUUCACAGUGCUCCCACGGGGGCUCCCAACUGGAUUAUACUGAAUUGAGUGUUAAAAUAGCAGAAGAGAAGCUUUGGUCAACAGCUAAGAACAUCUGCGUCAGUAUGAAGAACACACUUAAGGAUUUCUUCACAGGGCUGAAGCCAUCCGGAUCCGAAAGGACAGAAAUGGCUUCUUCCAAAGAGACCCUUGGGGAAAUCCUGGUUGCUAUCCAGAGUGAAAUCUCAAACUUCGGGCGAAUGAAGGAUUCCAGGGAGCUCCUUCAGAUCAAUGAUAUGGUAGGAACUAUGCUGAAGGAGAUUGAGAAAAGUGAGGAUGACAGUGAACAAGUCUGCCAAGACAUCCCUCGAACCUGUUCAUCUUUAUCCACUUCUUUAAAUGGUCGUAGUUCCUUGUCCAGCUCUUCAAAGGGUCCUAGGUCAGAGUGUGAGUUAGAGAUCAACCUCCCUGGCACUCCCAUCCCUGACAAAGUGCCUUUUGAUCUGACCUGCCCCAUCGUCAGGAGCUCCUGCAUCGACACCAGGGACUCUAAAAUGCCAGAGAUUUCUACAAUUGACCUAAAGACAAAGAUGAUGGCACACACAGAUGAACCCCUGCAUCGUAACAGUCCAAUGACUGACAGCAGCCGACCACCGAGUGCUAAAGUCUCUUUUCGAUCCUCCACUCCGUCUUUCACCAGCAAGGGAACCUCUUUGGUACCAAAGGGAGAGGGGAUUGACAUUGAAGAGAAGGAGGUGUGUAUCCCCAGCAGCUCUGGCCAUCUGAGGGAGCUCUUAAUCAUCCCGGACAUCAGCAGUGCCACUGCAUUCCCACUGCAGUACUUGAAGGACUCCAGCAAAGAUGAUGGCAUCUGUUUUGUCACCAUACUGGUGAUAAGGUUGCUAUCGGAGAUCAGACCCUCAGCCCUAGAUGGACCCUCCCAACAGGCAGCAGAUCUGACCGAAACAUCUCAGCAACUCAUCAGACAAGUCCUGUCUGAGUUCUGUGCUGCAUCCAGAUUAUCCAGGACACAGGCAUAUUCCCAGAACCUGAACAUCCAAAGGGUGUUCAGAGGUGUACAUAAAAACCUCAUGGAGGAGUUUGGCUCUUAUAACACCCUGCAAGCAGCUAUUUCCUCCCAGGACCCUGCAUUUGACAGAGUCCUGGUAAAGUCCUUGACCCAGCAGCUGGUACAGGGAUGCAAGGAGGCGUCAAGACCAGCUUCUGCUGCAACAAACCCAUCAGACCAGGCUGAGACGGAGAGGGGGGCUGAGCAGAAAGCAAGAAGGAGCUUCCUUUGCUUUUCAAUGACUAAACUCAGGAUCAACUUCAAGCGUUCCAAGAGAGGAAACAAAAAGGACUGCCAUUCAGUCCAGGACCAGACUGAGAUUCCCUCUACUGAUGGACAUUGCAUAGGUAAGGAUGUUUUAGAGCUCUGCUAUAGCUUGUAGUUUUGUUUAGGUGUGUGUUAGAAACAUAGGAAUGCCUACCAAACUCAUAGCACUGUUAUUUUUCAACGUUACUAUACUGCAUCUCUCUCUCUCUCUCUCUCUCUCUCUCUCUCUCUCUCUUACCCCAUCCAUUUCUCUUGUGUUUCUAGCUCCAGUUGGAGAGGUUUCUCCCUCCAUAUCUCAGCCUGUCAAAAAACGAUCCUUGAUUGUCAGGGUCUUUUCAGCAAUGAUGAAGCCAUUCAGGCGCUUCACCAAGAAGAACCUGUAACCUGUUACGCUGCAUGAAGAACUACUUUUGUAACAGCAAGACUUUUGACAAGAGAAAUUUCUGCAUGUCUAACCUUUCAAAGUCUAUUUGAUCAAAUAAAUGGCAAUGAUUUUACAAGACUUUCAAGUGUUUUGGAAGAUUGAUAAUACUGAAGCAGAUUUUCUCAGAGAAAUGCACUAGUUCCCCCUUGGUUACACAUUUAUUGUUCAGCUUUUGAGUUGGCAGGACAUAGGGCGUCAGGUAGCCUUGUGGUUAGAGCAUUGGGCCAGUAACCGAAAGGUUACCCCGCAUUCCGACAGAGCAGAUAAAGCAGUACUGGGUAGAGCUGGUGGGGCUUUCAGAGUCAGUUUCAUCUUUCUGCUCAGGCACAGGGCAGGCAUCCUAUGAAGUGUUUAUCUCAGGAGUGCCUGAUUUACCUCUGAACGGUGUCAAAUGUGAGAGAAAGUGGGAUCCGGGUGUUUUUUUACCGUUGUAUUGAUGUCUCUCUUUGACGAAGAAAAGCCUUGCCAAUGAGAACCUUAUUCCAGUCAGAGAGAUAUUAUCAAUAUUUGUGUUGACACAUACCCUACUGCUUCAGUCAGGAUUGCAUCACGGCUGGGGAUUUGUUGUCAUCUGUCUGAGACGGAGAUACUGGUUGAGCAGAAUACAUUUAGAGGUACAUUGGGAAAGAAAAUCCUGCAUGUAUGAAAAAGCCCACCUUGUGGGUGUCACAACGUCUGCGGAAGUCGAAGCCUCUCCUUGUUCGGGCGGUGCUCGAAGGUCGACGUCACCGGUCUUCUACCGGUCUUCAUUGAUCCAUUUUUCAUUUUCGAUUGGUUUUAUCUUGUCUUACUACACACCUGGUUUCAAUCCCAUUCAUUACCUGUUGUGUAUUUAACCGUCUGUUUUCCCUCAUGUCUUUGUCAGAGAUUGUUUUAUGUUCAGUAUUCGUGUUUUGUAUUUGGUGCGCGACGGGUCCUCGUACCCACUUUGUUUCAUUGUAUUUCAUGGUUUUGGAGUCAUGUAUUUUAAGUUAUUAAACUACUCCAUUCCACCAAGUUUUAAUUAUCCUGUGCCUGACUUCCCUGCCACCUAUAAACAUGACUGUGAUAGAAUCUCCGACCAAAAUGAAGUCAGCAGGAGAAGGUACCCCAGCCGUGGAGGUGGAGGAGCGCGUCAUGGAACAUACGGCGAUGAUUUCCAAACUGAGCGCAGCCAUGGAUCGCGUUGUCCAGAAUAUGGACCGCUGGGAGACACAGGGAGUUUUUCCAGCGCCUCUACCAGGACAACCGGGGUCUACCCUGAACACCCCUUUCCCACCUGAACCUAGCAGGAUCCAUCUAUCCAAACCACAAGGAUAUGACGGAGCACUGUGUGUGGAGGGGGAGAUGCGAAGUUGGACGAUUUUGAGGAGUUCACCCACUGUUUCCAGACAGUAUUCGACCACCCACCCGAGGGCAGAGCGGCGGGUGAGCGCCUCUACCAUCUGAGGCAGGAGAUGAGGAGCGCACAGAAGUUUGACCUGGAGUUUAGGACCCUGGCUGCCGGCGCUGGAUGGAGCAACAGGGCCCUGAUCGACAAUUACCGCUGUAGUCUAUGUGAGGACGUCCGUCGGGAGCUGGUCUGCAGAGACACCACCCUCACCUUCGACCAGCUGGUGGACCUGUCCAUCCGGCUGGACAACCUGCUGGCUACUCGCGGACGUCCAGAUCGGGGUCUGGUUGUUCCAUCCUCCCGCACACCCUCUCCGAUACCCAUGGAGCUGGGAGGUGCGGUGCGCAGGGAGACCGGAGGGGGUUCCCUCUCGUGCACCAUAUGUGGCCGCAGAGGUCACACUGCU